RNAcentral lists this ribosomal RNA (460 nucleotides) under uncultured bacterium. Its description in RNAcentral is "partial 16S ribosomal RNA". It matches the Rfam family "Bacterial small subunit ribosomal RNA", at positions 338 to 795 of the family's 1533-position model. The record is from RNAcentral.
CCUACGGGUGGCUGCAGUGAGGAAUAUUGGUCAAUGGGCGAGAGCCUGAACCAGCCAAGUCGCGUGAAGGAUGACGGCCCUACGGGUUGUAAACUUCUAUUGUCAGGGAGAAAUUGGGUCCACGCGUGGGCUUAGCGAGAGUACCUGAAGAAAAAGCAUCGGCUAACUCCGUGCUAGCAGCCGCGGUAAUACGGAGGAUGCGAGCGUGAUCCGGAUUUAUUGGGUUUAGAGGGAGCGUAGGCGGAAUAACCAGUCAGCGGUAAAAAUUCGGUGCUCACCCCCGUCGUUACGUUGAAACUGAUGUUCUUGAGUGGGCGAGAAGUAUGCGGAAUGCGUGGUGUAGCGGUGAAAUGCAUAGAUAUCACGCAGAACUCCGAUUGCGAAGGCAGCAUACCGGCGCCCAACUGACGCUGAAGCACGAAAGCGUGGGUAUCGAACAGGAUUAGAUACCCCUGUAGUC